GUCCCUGUAGGGCAAUGGAUAGCGCGUUGAACUUCUAAUCCAAUUUCGUGGAUUAGAAUCCCAUCUGGUAUG
This is a non-coding RNA of Trichonephila clavipes, 72 nucleotides long. The record is from the annotation of a GenBank genome assembly. Lineage: Eukaryota; Metazoa; Arthropoda; Arachnida; Araneae; Nephilidae.